UGGGGAAUAUUGGACAAUGGGGGCAACCCUGAUCCAGCCAUGCCGCGUGAGUGAUGAAGGCCUUCGGGUUGUAAAGCUCUUUUGGCGGGGACGAUGAUGACGGUACCCGCAGAAUAAGCCCCGGCUAACUUCGUGCCAGCAGCCGCGGUAAGACGAAGGGGGCUAGCGUUGUUCGGAAUUACUGGGCGUAAAGCGAGUGUAGGCGGUUGCCGUAGUCAGGUGUGAAAGCCUUGAGCUCAACUCAAGAAAUGCACUUGAUACUGGGUGACUAGAGGACCGGAGAGGAUAGUGGAAUUCCCAGUGUAGUGGUGAAAUACGUAGAGAUUGGGAAGAACACCAGUGGCGAAGGCGGCUAUCUGGACGGUUACUGACGCUAAGACUCGAAAGCGUGGGGAGCAAACAGGAUUAGAUACCCUGGUAGUCCACGCCGUAAACGAUGGGUGCUAGACGUUGGCGAGCUUGCUCGUCAGUGUCGCAGCUAACGCGUUAAGCACCCCGCCUGGGGAGUACGGCCGCAAGGUUGAAACUUAAAAGGAAUUGACGGGGGUCAUAGCUGUUU
RNAcentral lists this ribosomal RNA (559 nucleotides) under uncultured bacterium. RNAcentral describes it as "partial 16S ribosomal RNA". It matches the Rfam family "Bacterial small subunit ribosomal RNA", at positions 355 to 935 of the family's 1533-position model. The record is from RNAcentral.